UAGUUCUUAUUCGAGAAGACCACGUGCC
This 28-nucleotide small RNA is filed under the name Bombyx mori (domestic silkworm). RNAcentral's name for it is "ovarian small RNA-23151". The record is from RNAcentral. Lineage: Eukaryota; Metazoa; Arthropoda; Insecta; Lepidoptera; Bombycidae.